GUGGACGCUGGCGGUAGGCCUAACACAUGCAAGUCGAACGGCAGCACAGUAAGAGCUUGCUCUUACGGGUGGCGAGUGGCGGACGGGUGAGGAAUACAUCGGAAUCUACUUUUUCGUGGGGGAUAACGUAGGGAAACUUACGCUAAUACCGCAUACGACCUACGGGUGAAAGCAGGGGAUCUUCGGACCUUGCGCGAUUGAAUGAGCCGAUGUCGGAUUAGCUAGUUGGCGGGGUAAAGGCCCACCAAGGCGACGAUCCGUAGCUGGUCUGAGAGGAUGAUCAGCCACACUGGAACUGAGACACGGUCCAGACUCCUACGGGAGGCAGCAGUGGGGAAUAUUGGACAAUGGGCGCAAGCCUGAUCCAGCCAUACCGCGUGGGUGAAGAAGGCCUUCGGGUUGUAAAGCCCUUUUGUUGGGAAAGAAAAGCAGCAGGUUAAUACCCCGCCGUUCUGACGGUACCCAAAGAAUAAGCACCGGCUAACUUCGUG
Molecule: ribosomal RNA, 491 nt
Filed under: uncultured bacterium
Lineage: Bacteria
Description: partial 16S ribosomal RNA
Rfam family: Bacterial small subunit ribosomal RNA
Source: RNAcentral